UAGGGAAUAUUAGAAAUGGACGAAAGUCUGAUCUAGCGACACCGCGUGUGCGAAGAAGGCCUUCGGGUUGUAAAGCACUUUUUGGAAGGAAUAGGAAGGAAGGUACUUCCAGAAUAAGUCUCGGCUAACUACGUGCCAGCAGCCGCGGUAACACGUAGGAGGCGAACGUUAUCCGGAUUUACUGGGCGUAAAGCGCGUGUAGGCGGUUUUGUAAGUAGGGCGUGAAAGCUCCUGGCUCAACUAGGAGAGGCCGUUCUAAACUGCAGAGCUAGAGGAUGGUAGAGGGAGGUGGAAUUCCAGGUGUAGCGGUGGAAUGCGCAGAUAUCUGGAGGUAUACCAGUGGCGAAGGCGGCCUCCUGGACCAUUCCUGACACUCAGACGCGAAAGCUAGGGUAGCAAACGG
Molecule: ribosomal RNA, 403 nt
Filed under: uncultured bacterium
Lineage: Bacteria
Description: bacterial SSU rRNA
Rfam family: Bacterial small subunit ribosomal RNA
Source: RNAcentral